AUGAACGCUGGCGGCGUGCCUAAUCCAUGCAAGUCGAGCGAACAGAUGAGGAGCUUGCUCCUCUGACGUUAGCGGCGGACGGGUGAGUAACACGUGGAUAACCUACCUAUAAGACUGGGAUAACUUCGGGAAACCGGAGCUAAUACCGGAUAAUAUAUUGAACCGCAUGGUUCAAUAGUGAAAGACGGUUUUGCUGUCACUUAUAGAUGGAUCCGCGCCGCAUUAGCUAGUUGGUAAGGUAACGGCUUACCAAGGCAACGAUGCGUAGCCGACCUGAGAGGGUGAUCGGCCACACGGGAACUGAGACACGGUCCAGACUCCUACGGGAGGCAGCAGUAGGGAAUCUUCCGCAAUGGGCGAAAGCCUGACGGAGCAACGCCGCGUGAGUGAUGAAGGUCUUCGGAUCGUAAAACUCUGUUAUUAGGGAAGAACAAAUGUGUAAGUAACUAUGCACGUCUUGACGGUACCUAAUCAGAAAGCCACGGCUAACUACGUG
This 496-nucleotide ribosomal RNA is filed under the name uncultured bacterium. Its description in RNAcentral is "partial 16S ribosomal RNA". It matches the Rfam family "Bacterial small subunit ribosomal RNA", at positions 29 to 507 of the family's 1533-position model. The record is from RNAcentral.